GCGAGGGAACACAAGGGAAGUAAACAUUUGUAUAUAUUGAUGAAACCAAAAUUGGGAGAUGGCCUAGAUGAUAGGCCUGAAGUCAGUCAAUUGAGUAGAGGUGAGGUGGCAGCUGCAACCACGGAGUCUCAAGACGCUUGGCAUUGUGUUCUCUAUUCUAUGAUGGAAGCUACCCUUACCUCUAACCUCAACAGACAAUGAACCUGGAGGCCUGCAGUAAUUUCAAAGUGGGAUGGGAUUGUUGACUCCUCUAAACGCCUUGGAUUUCGUCCCACAGAAAAACAAGAUCAAGAGUAUCUGCCUGCUUUACGGUCCAUUAUUACUUUUGGUACGCGCUAGGCCAGUCUCAAACUCGUACCGUGAGUAAUAAUGCACUGUGGCUGUCACUGCCAACGAGGGACAGACCACACCACCAUAUCUUACUUUCACUGUUCUCCAUAUUCCUAUGCAUCUCGUUGUUGUAAAGCAAGAAAUGUGAUAUAUUCAUGAAAACAGUGUUUGAAACUCUAAGGCCUUGUGUGGGGAAAGACAGCAUUUUAAUAUAAUCCUUUGUCUACUUUCAUAAACAGACUAUUACAUUUACUUAAAUAUUAUUGUUGAGUUGUUUACAUAUGUUGAAUUUUCUGUACCUCGUGAUUGCAAGCUAUAUGCAAAUGAAUAAUAAUAAAAAUACUUGAAUAUAGCUUAGCCAAUAGCAUUGUAGGUCUUGUGCAUCUACCAAGGCUUCAGUUGAAAUACCCCAACAUUGAGCUUUGUUUGUGAUCUGAGCACCACAAUACUUGCUUUGCCUUUACACUGAUUGGUGAAUUCUAAGUAUUACCCCCCACAAUCUUAAAGUAACUGGCAUGUGAAAAUGUCACUUUAAAAAGUACAUUCUGGUAACUCAUAUCCAAAUAAUGUUGUUUCGUAUUUUUGGCCAAAGCAUAAAUUGGAGUACUAGCACUUCAAAAAAAACACCUCAAUCUUGUAUCUCAAACGGACUGUUUAAAAAAUGCUUGUUACUUCCUCAUAGAGGAUGAUGGCCAAUCAGCAUUCCAGAGGAGGAUGAGAUGGCGAGUCAAUGGUCUAUUUGAAUGACCAGUGUACACCCACACCAUUCUGUUGUUGCGGUAUGCCAACACCGUUCCAAUGCAGAAAAGCUGCUUUUUAACCUACUUAAUAAAAACAAUUUUGAAGGAAAAAUAUUUUACUCGUAUCGUAAGUAAUUAUAGGUCAUUUUCCAUAGAAAUCUGAAAACAUUUGUCAGUUGCUUUAAGAUGACUGCAUUAAGUCACUCUGGAGGAUCAGAGCAUCUGCUAAAUGACCAAAAUGUUAUACAGAGCUGCAGAAUAAAUUCCCUGAGCCUUGUGACUGUU
Oncorhynchus nerka (sockeye salmon) is the source of this 1355-nucleotide long non-coding RNA. RefSeq lists it as uncharacterized. The record is from RefSeq and is a predicted model, not a curated record. The transcript has 2 exons. NCBI's taxonomy places the organism in Eukaryota, Metazoa, Chordata, Actinopteri, Salmoniformes, Salmonidae.